Molecule: ribosomal RNA, 497 nt
Filed under: uncultured bacterium
Lineage: Bacteria
Description: partial 16S ribosomal RNA
Rfam family: Bacterial small subunit ribosomal RNA
Source: RNAcentral
GAUGAACGCUGGCGGCGUGCCUAAUACAUGCAAGUCGAGCGAACAGAUGAGGAGCUUGCUCCUGUGACGUUAGCGGCGGACGGGUGAGUAACACGUGGAUAACCUACCUAUAAGACUGGGAUAACUUCGGGAAACGGGAGCUAAUACCGGAUAAUAUAUUGAACCACAUGGUUACAUACUGAAAGACGGUUUUGCUGUCGCUUGUAGAUUGAUCCGCGCCGCAUUAGCUAGUUGGCAAGGUAACGGCCUACCAAGGCAACGAUCAGUAGCUGGCCUGAGAGGAGGAUCGGCCACACUGGAACUGAGACACGGCCCAGACUCCUACGGGAGGCAGCAGUGGGGAAUCUUGCGCAAAGGGCGAAAGCCUGACGGAGCAAUGCCGCGUGUGUGAUGAAGGUCUUCGGAUCGUAAAACUCUGUUAUCAGGGAAGAACAAAUGUGCACGAAACCGUGCAGGUCUUGACGGUACCUGAUCAGAAAGCAACGGCUAACUACGUG